UAGGGAAUCUUCCGCAAUGGACGAAAGUCUGACGGAGCAACGCCGCGUGAGUGAUGAAGGUUUUCGGAUCGUAAAACUCUGUUGUUAGGGAAGAACAAGUGCGAGAGUAACUGCUCGCACCUUGACGGUACCUAACCAGAAAGCCACGGCUAACUACGUGCCAGCAGCCGCGGUAAUACGUAGGUGGCAAGCGUUGUCCGGAAUUAUUGGGCGUAAAGCGCGCGCAGGCGGUUUCUUAAGUCUGAUGUGAAAGCCCCCGGCUCAACCGGGGAGGGUCAUUGGAAACUGGGAAACUUGAGUGCAGAAGAGGAGAGUGGAAUUCCACGUGUAGCGGUGAAAUGCGUAGAGAUGUGGAGGAACACCAGUGGCGAAGGCGACUCUCUGGUCUGUAACUGACGCUGAGGCGCGAAAGCGUGGGGAGCGAACA
This 427-nucleotide ribosomal RNA is filed under the name uncultured Bacillus sp. RNAcentral's name for it is "bacterial SSU rRNA". It matches the Rfam family "Bacterial small subunit ribosomal RNA", at positions 355 to 774 of the family's 1533-position model. The record is from RNAcentral. Lineage: Bacteria; Bacillati; Bacillota; Bacilli; Caryophanales; Bacillaceae. RNAcentral also lists the same sequence under 1 other name.